GAUGAACGCUGGCGGCGUGCCUAAUACAUGCAAGUAGAACGCUGAAGGAGGAGCUUGCUCUUCUGGAUGAGUUGCGAACGGGUGAGUAACGCGUAGGUAACCUGCCUGGUAGCGGGGGAUAACUAUUGGAAACGAUAGCUAAUACCGCAUGACAACAGUUAUUGCAUGAUAACUGUUUAAAAGGGGCAACUGCUCCACUACCAGAUGGACCUGCGUUGUAUUAGCUAGUUGGUGAGGUAACGGCUCACCAAGGCGACGAUACAUAGCCGACCUGAGAGGGUGAUCGGCCACACUGGGACUGAGACACGGCCCAGACUACUACGGGAGGCAGCAGUAGGGAAUCUUCGGCAAUGGACGGAAGUCUGACCGAGCAACGCCGCGUGAGUGAAGAAGGUUUUCGGAUCGUAAAGCUCUGUUGUAAGAGAAGAACGAGUGUGAGAGUGGAAAGUUCACACUGUGACGGUAUCUGACCAGAAAGGGACGGCUAACUACGUG
RNAcentral lists this ribosomal RNA (495 nucleotides) under uncultured bacterium. RNAcentral's name for it is "partial 16S ribosomal RNA". It matches the Rfam family "Bacterial small subunit ribosomal RNA", at positions 28 to 507 of the family's 1533-position model. The record is from RNAcentral.